RNAcentral lists this ribosomal RNA (480 nucleotides) under uncultured bacterium. Its description in RNAcentral is "bacterial SSU rRNA". It matches the Rfam family "Bacterial small subunit ribosomal RNA", at positions 32 to 491 of the family's 1533-position model. The record is from RNAcentral.
AAUCAACGCUGGCGGCGUGCCUCAGACAUGCAAGUCGAACGCGAAAUUUCCCUUCGGGGAGAAAGUAGAGUGGCGCACGGGUGAGUAACACGUAGGUAAUUUGCCUUUGGGUGGGGAAUAACUCAGGGAAACUUGAGCUAAUACCGCAUAAUGCAGCGGCUCGACAUCGAGACAGUUGUUAAAGCGGGGAUCGCAAGACCUCGCGCCUGAAGAGAAGCCUGCGGCAGAUUAGCUAGUUGGUAAGGUAAUGGCUUACCAAGGCGACGAUCUGUAACCGGCCUGAGAGGGCGGUCGGUCACACUGACACUGACAUACGGGUCAGACUCCUACGGGAGGCAGCAGUCGGGAAUUUUGGCAAUGGGCGAAAGCCUGACCCAGCAACGCCGCGUGAAGGAUGAAAUCCUCGGAUGUAAACUUCGCAAGAACGGAAGAAUAAGUGAAAGUUAAUAUACUUUCAUGAUGACGGUACCGUUUGUAAGC